UACGGGGGGAGCAAGCGUUGUUCGGAUUUACUGGGCGUAAAGGGCGCGUAGGCGGCCACCGCAAGUCGACUGUGAAAUCUCCGGGCUUAACCCGGAAAGGUCAGCCGAUACUGCGGGGCUAGAGUGCAGAAGGGGCAACUGGAAUUCUCGGUGUAGCGGUGAAAUGCGUAGAUAUCGAGAGGAACACCUGCGGCGAAGGCGGGAUUGCUGGGCUGACACGUGACGCUGAGGCGCGAAAGCUAGGGGAGCGAACGGGA
This 257-nucleotide ribosomal RNA is filed under the name uncultured bacterium. RNAcentral's name for it is "partial 16S ribosomal RNA". It matches the Rfam family "Bacterial small subunit ribosomal RNA", at positions 524 to 777 of the family's 1533-position model. The record is from RNAcentral.